UCACUCUUGAGAUGCUUUUGGUGGUUGAAAACCUUUAAUGUUCAAGUGGAAUAACUCUUUUCUUGUCUACUACUGUUUACCCUGGCUAUUUAAGUGAUCCCCUUUGAAAAAUAGCCGUUAGAGAGGAGAUUAGAGCCAUUCUGACCCAUCUGCACAAUCUGACAAUGUAUCCGUUGGGAUUGGAGUUGACUCGCGCAAUCUGGAGUCGACUCGCGCUAUACUGGAGACGACUCGGCCACUAUUCUAAAUUUGAAUUAAAGUGCAUGCCUUGUCCUGGAGUCGACUCGCCAACAGCUGAAGACGACUC
RNAcentral lists this long non-coding RNA (307 nucleotides) under Phoenix dactylifera (date palm). RNAcentral's name for it is "long non-coding RNA (PDAC_LNC002261)". The record is from RNAcentral. Lineage: Eukaryota; Viridiplantae; Streptophyta; Magnoliopsida; Arecales; Arecaceae.